Pelobates cultripes (western spadefoot toad) is the source of this 205-nucleotide non-coding RNA. Lineage: Eukaryota; Metazoa; Chordata; Amphibia; Anura; Pelobatidae. The record is from the annotation of a GenBank genome assembly.
AUUUAAUGUCAUUUUUCUCUACAUUUAGAACGUGAACAGAAAACAGCUCUUAUGGAACAAGUGUCACAUCAAUGCAGCUUAUUAUUGAAAUUGCAAGGAACUGUAAUGUGGAUCCAAGAGGAUGUUUCCGCUUGUUUUUCCAAAAAGCCAGAACAAAGGAAAUUUAGAAAACUUGAGGUAUUUAAGUCAAAAAUCCGCUUGCAGC